Molecule: ribosomal RNA, 426 nt
Filed under: uncultured Actinomycetes bacterium
Lineage: Bacteria; Bacillati; Actinomycetota; Actinomycetes
Description: bacterial SSU rRNA
Rfam family: Bacterial small subunit ribosomal RNA
Source: RNAcentral
GCGGCCUAUCAGCUUGUUGGUGAGGUAAUGGCUCACCAAGGCGACGACGGGUAGCCGGCCUGAGAGGGCGACCGGCCACACUGGGACUGAGACACGGCCCAGACUCCUACGGGAGGCAGCAGUGGGGAAUAUUGGGCAAUGGAGGGAACUCUGACCCAGCGACGCCGCGUGCGGGAUGAAGGCCUUCGGGUUGUAAACCGCUUUCAGCAAGGAAGAAGCGAAAGUGACGGUACUUGCAGAAGAAGCACCGGCUAACUACGUGCCAGCAGCCGCGGUAAUACAUAGGGUGCAAGCGUUGUCCGGAAUUAUUGGGCGUAAAGAGCUCGUAGGUGGUUCGUCACGUCGGAUGUGAAAAUCUGGGGCUUAACCCCAGACCUGCAUUCGAUACGGGCGAGCUAGAGUGUGGUAGGGGAGACUGGAAUUCCU